RNAcentral lists this microRNA precursor (60 nucleotides) under Danio rerio (zebrafish). Its description in RNAcentral is "Dre-Mir-135-P2a_pre stem-loop". The record is from RNAcentral. Lineage: Eukaryota; Metazoa; Chordata; Actinopteri; Cypriniformes; Danionidae.
UAUGGCUUUUUAUUCCUAUGUGAAGGUGAACAAGGCUCAUGUAGGGAUACAAGCCACUAA